UCCAGACUCCUACGGGAGGCAGCAGUGGGGAAUAUUGGGCAAUGGGCGCAAGCCUGACCCAGCAACGCCGCGUGAAGGAAGAAGGCUUUCGGGUUGUAAACUUCUUUUCUCAGGGACGAAGCAAGUGACGGUACCUGAGGAAUAAGCCACGGCUAACUACGUGCCAGCAGCCGCGGUAAUACGUAGGUGGCAAGCGUUAUCCGGAUUUACUGGGUGUAAAGGGCGUGUAGGCGGGAAAGCAAGUCAGAUGUGAAGACCAUGGGCUCAACCUGUGGCCUGCAUUUGAAACUGUUUUUCUUGAGUACUGGAGAGGCAGACGGAAUUCCUAGUGUAGCGGUGAAAUGCGUAGAUAUUAGGAGGAACACCAGUGGCGAAGGCGGUCUGCUGGACAGCAACUGACGCUGAGGCGCGAAAGCGUGGGGAGCAAACAGGAUUAGAUACCCGAGUAUC
Molecule: ribosomal RNA, 450 nt
Filed under: uncultured bacterium
Lineage: Bacteria
Description: bacterial SSU rRNA
Rfam family: Bacterial small subunit ribosomal RNA
Source: RNAcentral